RNAcentral lists this ribosomal RNA (253 nucleotides) under uncultured bacterium. RNAcentral describes it as "partial 16S ribosomal RNA". It matches the Rfam family "Bacterial small subunit ribosomal RNA", at positions 524 to 776 of the family's 1533-position model. The record is from RNAcentral.
UACGGGGGGGGCAAGCGUUGUUCGGAAUUACUGGGCGUAAAGGGCUCGUAGGUGGCCAACUAAGUCGGACGUGAAAUCCCCAGGCUCAACCUGGGAACUGCGUCCGAUAUUGGAUGGCUUGAAUUCGGGAGAGGGAUGUGGAAUUCCAGGUGUAGCGGUGAAAUGCGUAGAUAUCUGGAGGAACACCGGUGGCGAAGGCGGCAUCCUGGACCGGUAUUGACGCUGAGGCGCGAAAGCCAGGGGAGCAAACGGG